Molecule: ribosomal RNA, 292 nt
Filed under: uncultured Alphaproteobacteria bacterium
Lineage: Bacteria; Pseudomonadati; Pseudomonadota; Alphaproteobacteria
Description: partial 16S ribosomal RNA
Source: RNAcentral
GGACUACAAGGGUUUCUAAUCCUGUUUGCUCCCCACGCUUUCGCGCCUCAGCGUCAAUGUCGGUCCAGAUGGCCGCCUUCGCCACGGAUAUUCUUCCCAAUCUCUACGAAUUUCACCUCUACACUGGGAAUUCCACCAUCCUCUACCGAAUUCAAGUAAAACAGUCUUGAGUGCAGUUCCAGGGUUGAGCCCUGGGCUUUCACACCCAACUUGUUAAACCGCCUACGCGCCCUUUACGCCCAGUAAUUCCGAACAACGCUAGCCCCCUUCGUAUUACCGCGGCGGCUGGCAC